AGCCCAUGGUGAGGGCGCCUUCUCAACAGAUCCUUGUAUCUUUCCCAUGCAUCGUAGAGUGUUUCUAAUCCAUAUGCACAAAAGAAGAGAUAUCAUUAUGUAAUU
RNAcentral lists this small nucleolar RNA (105 nucleotides) under Gossypium hirsutum (cotton). Its description in RNAcentral is "Plant small nucleolar RNA R71". It matches the Rfam family "Plant small nucleolar RNA R71". Rfam says of the family: R71 is a member of the C/D box family of snoRNAs containing the C (UGAUGA) and D (CUGA) box motifs. Multiple nearly identical copies of this snoRNA have been identified in Arabidopsis, and it is thought to function as a 2'-O-ribose methylation guide for 18S ribosomal RNA. The record is from Rfam by way of RNAcentral. Lineage: Eukaryota; Viridiplantae; Streptophyta; Magnoliopsida; Malvales; Malvaceae. RNAcentral also lists the same sequence under 1 other name.